This is a long non-coding RNA of Esox lucius (northern pike), 911 nucleotides long. Lineage: Eukaryota; Metazoa; Chordata; Actinopteri; Esociformes; Esocidae. The record is from Ensembl.
CUUGUCAUACCUAUGCAAAAAUACGAAUUUUAUAUAAUUGAUGUCAUUGUCGGGUGCCAAAUAGUAUAUCAUACCAAUGAAAAUAAACAAUAUCGCAGACACAUCAUAAAUACAUACUGACGGUGCGACAGGAUUACGAAAUACUCUCACUAGAGGGAUCGCCAAGUCCAACUAAAUCAUAGAUAGGCCAGCGGGUGUGGUUAGUGACGUUGCUGUCUACGAAGAGAUUUUACGAGCUCGUAUGGUGAAGUCAACUGAGAAAGUGCACCGUAGGCUGUCAGUUCUGUGAGUUCUCAGGCCCAGUCUUCAAAUUCUACCGCCCGCUUGUCGUGCUUUGAGGCAGAAACGUGCAUCUUGUUGCCGGAACGAAGAACGGAAAUAGAUGCCAGUGUUUCUGCUCAGUGUUGUUUUUCUAACUGACCACUGGAACUUUUCUGACUACGUGUGCGGUAAUCUGCAGGAGGAGUAUAUUGCCUCCAAUCAAGUGCCCUCCACACGGUAUGGCAUGAUGUUGCAAAAUGGAGUGAAAGUCUUCCUUCUUCAUGAUCCCUUUUACCCUGUACACAUCUCCCACUUCACCACCACAGCACCCCCAGACCAUCACAUUGCCUCCACCAUGCUUGACAGAUGUCGGCCACAAUCAAAGCCCUGAAACAAACCAGAAGUGGAGAUGGUUGCAGAACAUGCCUGUCAGAGCAUCACCAGGAAAGAUGCCAAGCGUCUAGUAAUGUCUACGGAUGGCAGAAUUCAGGCAGUCAUCAUAUUCAAAGGAUUUAUAAUUCAUAAGUACUAAAUAGGACAACUUCAUCUGAGAAUAUACAUUUUAUUUCAGUGACUUCUGUAUGGAGGACUGUACUUCCUACAUGGUUUACAGAUUAUAGAUGUAAAUACAAAUUAAAGCUGACAGUCUG